This 443-nucleotide ribosomal RNA is filed under the name uncultured bacterium. RNAcentral's name for it is "partial 16S ribosomal RNA". It matches the Rfam family "Bacterial small subunit ribosomal RNA", at positions 338 to 795 of the family's 1533-position model. The record is from RNAcentral.
CCUACGGGAGGCAGCAGUGGGGAAUAUUGGGCAAUGGGCGCAAGCCUGACCCAGCAACGCCGCGUGAAGGAAGAAGGCUUUCGGGUUGUAAACUUCUUUUCUCAGGGACGAAGCAAGUGACGGUACCUGAGGAAUAAGCCACGGCUAACUACGUGCCAGCAGCCGCGGUAAUACGUAGGUGGCAAGCGUUAUCCGGAUUUACUGGGUGUAAAGGGCGUGUAGGCGGGGACGCAAGUCAGAUGUGAAAACCACGGGCUCAACCUGUGGCCUGCAUUUGAAACUGUGUUUCUUGAGUACGGGUGAGGCAGGCGGAAUUCGUAGUGUAGCGGUGAAAUGCGUAGAUAUUAGGAGGAACACCAGUGGCGAAGGCGGUCUGCUGGACAGCAACUGACGCUGAGGCGCGAAAGCGUGGGGAGCAAACAGGAUUAGAUACCCUUGUAGUC